This 760-nucleotide ribosomal RNA is filed under the name Paenibacillus sp. 31ND2. RNAcentral describes it as "bacterial SSU rRNA". It matches the Rfam family "Bacterial small subunit ribosomal RNA", at positions 66 to 823 of the family's 1533-position model. Lineage: Bacteria; Bacillati; Bacillota; Bacilli; Caryophanales; Paenibacillaceae. The record is from RNAcentral.
CCAUUGCUCCUUCUCUUGCUUUAACCGGCGGGAACGGGUGAGUUAACACGUAUUUUAACCUGCCUGUAAGACCGGGAUAACAUUCGGAAACGAAUGCUAAUACCGGAUACGCGAUUUCCUCGCAUGGGGAGAUCGGGAAAGACGGAGCAAUCUGUCACUUACAGAUGGACCUGCGGCGCAUUAGCUAGUUGGUGGGGUAACGGCUCACCAAGGCGACGAUGCGUAGCCGACCUGAGAGGGUGAUCGGCCACACUGGGACUGAGACACGGCCCAGACUCCUACGGGAGGCAGCAGUAGGGAAUCUUCCGCAAUGGACGAAAGUCUGACGGAGCAACGCCGCGUGAGUGAUGAAGGCUUUCGGGUCGUAAAGCUCUGUUGCCAGGGAAGAACACUUAGGAGAGUAACUGCUCUUAAGGUGACGGUACCUGAGAAGAAAGCCCCGGCUAACUACGUGCCAGCAGCCGCGGUAAUACGUAGGGGGCAAGCGUUGUCCGGAAUUAUUGGGCGUAAAGCGCGCGCAGGCGGCUUUGUAAGUCUGUCGUUUAAGUUCGGGGCUCAACCCCGUAUCGCGAUGGAAACUGCAAGGCUUGAGUGCAAAAAAGGAAAGUGGAUUCCACGUGUACCGGUGAAUGCGUAAAGAUGUGGAGGAACACCAGUGGCGAAGGCGACUUUCUGGGCUGUAACUGACGCUGAGGCCCAAAGCGUGGGGAGCAACAGGAUAAAUACCUGGUAGUCACGCCGUAACAAUGAUGCUAGGUGU